ACUCUUUCUCUCAUAUGAGAACUCGAAAGCAGUAGACUUGAACCAAUACCGAUUAGACUGAAAUAAAUGAAUCAGGCUUCUACUAUAAAGUAAGAGAAUGCAAACCGUAGGCAAUAGAACCAAACUCGGCGGUAGGUUGCUCCUUUCUCUAUUACUUGUUUGAUGCUAGUAGGUUGUUCCUUUCUCUAUUACUUGUUUGAUGCUAACAGUAGCAUAGCAGUGUUUAGUCUUAGAGGCGCUAAGUCACAUUCUUAGAGGUUAUAGUCAAUUCUUAUAGUUAUGAGCUCAAUUACAUCGACCCUUGUUCCCGGGUUCAGUCCAAGAAGUACUAUGGCUGCAUUAGAAUAAGUAUUUGUCGUAGAAUGAGAUAGAGCACAAAGGGAGACUCAAAGCCAGUAAGAGCGGACUGAUAUGGUAGGUAGUUCUGGUGACUAAUAGGUGCAAAUACGGUAAUAAAAGGGAAAAUAGACACUUAGUUACAGGAAAGACGGAGUGAAAGGAUCUGAAUCCGGAGUUACAGAAACAAAGUAAGUAGUCGGUUUCCCUGUUGCUAGUUUAAGUACUGUUAGCACUAGGCUUUCAGCACGUUAUGUCAAAGAGAAAGUCUUACCGACAAUAGUGUGUCAGUUUGAGAAACAGUAGUUACAGGGUUUUAGGUAUGGGAGCGGCAGACUAACAACUAGACAUGGGAAUUCGAAUAAGUAAUGUUAGUUUGAAGCUACAACUGCAGGAGUGAAAGAAGAGUUAGGUGCUCCAGAAACAAGUCUAGGUUUGGAUACCUGG
Molecule: long non-coding RNA, 783 nt
Filed under: Musa acuminata (dwarf banana)
Lineage: Eukaryota; Viridiplantae; Streptophyta; Magnoliopsida; Zingiberales; Musaceae
Description: long non-coding RNA (MACU_LNC008129)
Source: RNAcentral